UACGUAGGGUCCGAGCGUUGUCCGGAAUUAUUGGGCGUAAAGGGCGCGUAGGCGGCCUGUUAAGUCGAACGUGAAAUCCCCGGGCUCAACCCGGGAACUGCGUCCGAUACUGGCAGGCUUGAAUCCGGGAGAGGGAUGCGGAAUUCCAGGUGUAGCGGUGAAAUGCGUAGAUAUCUGGAGGAACACCGGUGGCGAAGGCGGCAUCCUGGACCGGC
This 215-nucleotide ribosomal RNA is filed under the name uncultured bacterium. Its description in RNAcentral is "partial 16S ribosomal RNA". It matches the Rfam family "Bacterial small subunit ribosomal RNA", at positions 524 to 738 of the family's 1533-position model. The record is from RNAcentral.